ACGGGAGGCAGCAGUGGGGAAUAUUGGACAAUGGGGGCAACCCUGAUCCAGCCAUGCCGCGUGUGUGAAGAAGGCUUUCGGGUUGUAAAGCACUUUCAGCGAGGAGGAAGGCUCUAAAGUUAAUACCUUUAGGGAUGACGU
This 141-nucleotide ribosomal RNA is filed under the name uncultured bacterium. RNAcentral describes it as "partial 16S ribosomal RNA". It matches the Rfam family "Bacterial small subunit ribosomal RNA", at positions 341 to 475 of the family's 1533-position model. The record is from RNAcentral.